AUAACAUCUGGUGAUAUUGUGAAGGUUUAUAAAAAUAACUAUUCACAACAGGUAACAUUGUAAAGGUGUAUAAAAUAACCAUUCACAACAGGUAACAUUGUAAAGGUGUAUAAAAAUAACUAUUCACAACAGGUAACAUCUGGUGACAUUGUAAAGGUUUAUAAAAAUAACUAUGCACAACAUGUAACAACUGGUGACAUUGUAAAGGUUUAUAAAAUAAUUAUUCACAACAGGUAACAUCUGGUGACAUUGUAAAGGUUUAUAAAAAUAACUAUGCACAACAUGUAACAACUGGUGACAUUGUAAAGGUUUAUAAAAAUAACCAUUCACAACAUGUAACAUCUGGUGACAUUGUAACGGUUUAUAAAAAUAACUUUUCACAACAGGUAACAUCUGGUGACAUUGUAAAGGUUUAUAAAAAUAACUAUGCACAACAUGUAACAACUGGUGACAUUGUAAAGGUUUAUAAAAUAAUUAUUCACAACAGGUAACAUCUGGUGACAUUGUAAAGGUUUAUAAAAAUAACUAUCCACAACAUGUAACAACUAGUGACAUUGUAAAGGUUUAUAAAAUAAUUAUU
This is a non-coding RNA of Paramisgurnus dabryanus, 580 nucleotides long. The record is from RefSeq and is a predicted model, not a curated record. NCBI's taxonomy places the organism in Eukaryota, Metazoa, Chordata, Actinopteri, Cypriniformes, Cobitidae.